This is a long non-coding RNA of Aphis gossypii (cotton aphid), 290 nucleotides long. RefSeq lists it as uncharacterized. The transcript is spliced from 4 exons. NCBI's taxonomy places the organism in Eukaryota, Metazoa, Arthropoda, Insecta, Hemiptera, Aphididae. The record is from RefSeq and is a predicted model, not a curated record.
AAUAGCUUAAUACUUAUUCAGAAUCUAAUCAUUUUAGGUAUAUUUUUUGAAAAGAAAACUAAUCCUCGCACUUUGUAGUUCUCUGAAUAAUAACUAUGACUUCAUUUAAAGUUUCAAUAAUAUUAACUGUGAUAUUUUUUAUCAGCAAUUGUGUCAAAGGAGACUACUCAGGAGAUACCACACAAUUUGCAAAUUUCAAUGUCGCAAUGCAAUAUAGGAUACAAGUUAACGGUGACCAGAUAUUUAAAGACCAUGUGAGCGAAGUAUUUGAAAACUACGACAAUGAAGAU